Molecule: ribosomal RNA, 468 nt
Filed under: uncultured bacterium
Lineage: Bacteria
Description: partial 16S ribosomal RNA
Rfam family: Bacterial small subunit ribosomal RNA
Source: RNAcentral
GACGAACGCUGGCGGCGUGCUUAACACAUGCAAGUCGAACGGAAAGGCCCUGCUUUUGUGGGGUGCUCGAGUGGCGAACGGGUGAGUAACACGUGAGUAACCUGUCCUUGACUUUGGGAUAACUUCAGGAAAAUGGGGCUAAUACCGGAUAGGAGCUCCUGCUGCAUGGUGGGGGUUGGAAAGAUUCGGCGGUUGGGGAUGGACUCGCGGCUUAUCAGCUUGUUGGUGGGGUAGUGGCUUACCAAGGCUUUGACGGGUAGCCGGCCUGAGAGGGUGACCGGCCACAUUGGGACUGCGAUACGGCCCAGACUCCUACGGGAGGCAGCAGUGGGGAAUAUUGCACAAUGGGCGGAAGCCUGAUGCAGCAACGCCGCGUGCGGGAUGACGGCCUUCGGGUUGUAAACCGCUUUCGCCUGUGACGAAGCGUGAGUGACGGUAAUGGGUAAAGAAGCACCGGCUAACUACGUG